CACGGGGGGAGCAAGCGUUGUUCGGAAUCACUGGGCGUAAAGGGUGCGUAGGCGGGUUUUUAAGUCAGGGGUGAAAUCCUGGAGCUCAACUCCAGAACUGCCUUUGAUACUGAAGAUCUUGAGUCCGGGAGAGGUGAGUGGAACUGCGAGUGUAGAGGUGAAAUUCGUAGAUAUUCGCAAGAACACCAGUGGCGAAGGCGGCUCACUGGCCCGGUACUGACGCUGAGGCACGAAAGCGUGGGGAGCAAACAGG
This 253-nucleotide ribosomal RNA is filed under the name uncultured bacterium. RNAcentral describes it as "partial 16S ribosomal RNA". It matches the Rfam family "Bacterial small subunit ribosomal RNA", at positions 524 to 776 of the family's 1533-position model. The record is from RNAcentral.